GAUGAACGCUGGCGGCGUGCCUAAUACAUGCAAGUCGAGCGAACAGACGAGGAGCUUGCUCCUCUGACGUUAGCGGCGGACGGGUGAGUAACACGUGGAUAACCUACCUAUAAGACUGGGAUAACUUCGGGAAACCGGAGCUAAUACCGGAUAAUAUAUUGAACCGCAAGGUUCAAUAGUGAAAGACGGUAUUGCUGUCACUUAUAGAUGGAUCCGCGCCUCAUUAGCUAGUUGGUAAGGUAACGGCUUACCAAGGCAACGAUGCCUAGCCGACCUGAGAGAGUCACCCGCAACACUGGAACUGUCACACGACGCCGCCUCCCGCUCGUCACCCCACGAGGGAGUCUUACACACUGUACGCCAACCUGACGGAUCAGCCCCGCGUAAGUGAUUCAGCUCUUCCGAUCGUAAAACUCUUUUACUAGGGAUCAUCGAAGGGGUAAGUAACUAUGCUCAUCUUGACGCUACCUAAUCAGACGGCCACGGCUAACUACAUG
This 497-nucleotide ribosomal RNA is filed under the name uncultured bacterium. RNAcentral describes it as "partial 16S ribosomal RNA". It matches the Rfam family "Bacterial small subunit ribosomal RNA", at positions 28 to 507 of the family's 1533-position model. The record is from RNAcentral.